GCCAGGCGUGGUGGCGCGCGCCUGUAAUCCCAGCUACUCAGGAGGCUGAGGCAGAAGGAUCGCUUGAACCCGGGAGGUGGAGGUUGCAGUGAGCUGAGAUCUCCACUGCACUCCAGCCUGGGCAACAAAGCGAGACUUGGUCUCGG
Unclassified non-coding RNA from Pongo abelii (Sumatran orangutan), 146 nucleotides. It matches the Rfam family "Metazoan signal recognition particle RNA". Rfam says of the family: The signal recognition particle (SRP) is a universally conserved ribonucleoprotein. It is involved in the co-translational targeting of proteins to membranes. NCBI's taxonomy places the organism in Eukaryota, Metazoa, Chordata, Mammalia, Primates, Hominidae. The record is from Ensembl.